UCCUACGGGAGGCAGCAGUGGGGGAUAUUGCACAAUGGGGGGAACCCUGAUGCAGCGACGCCGCGUGGGUGAAGGAGUAUUUCGGUAUGUAAAGCCCUAUCGGCAGGGAAGAGGCAAGACGGUACCUGACUAAGAAGCCCCGGCUAACUACGUGCCAGCAGCCGCGGUAAUACGUAGGGGGCGAGCGUUAUCCGGAUUCACUGGGUGUAAAGGGAGCGUAGACGGCCAUGCAAGCCAGGGGUGAAAGCCCGGGGCCCAACCCCGGGACUGCCCUUGGAACUGCAUGGCUGGAGUGCGGGGGGGGG
RNAcentral lists this ribosomal RNA (305 nucleotides) under uncultured bacterium. Its description in RNAcentral is "partial 16S ribosomal RNA". It matches the Rfam family "Bacterial small subunit ribosomal RNA", at positions 337 to 658 of the family's 1533-position model. The record is from RNAcentral.